UGUCUGUGUGUGUGUCUGUGUGUGUCUGUGUGUGUGUCUGUGUGUGUGUGUGUGUGUGUGUGUGUGUGUGUGUGUGUGUGUGUGUGUGUGUGUGUGUGUGUGUGUGUGUGUGUGUGUGUGUGUGUCUGUGUGUGUGUGUGUGUGUGUGUGUGUGUGUGUGUGUGUGUGUGUGUGUGUGUGUGUGUGUGUGUGUGUGUCUCUGUGUGUGUGUGUGUGUGUGUGUGUGUGUGUGUGUGUGUGUGUGUGUGUGUGUGUGUGUGUGUGUGUGUGUGUGUGUGUGUGUGUGUGUGUGUGUGUGUGUGUGUGUGUGUGUGUGUGUGUGUGUGUCUGUGUGUGUGUGUGUGUGUGUGUGUGUGUGUGUGUGUGUGUGUGUGUGUGUGUGUGUGUGUGUGUGUGUGUGUGUGUGUGUGUGUGUGUGUGUGUGUGUGUGUGUGUGUGUGUGUGUGUGUGUGUGUGUGUGUCUGUGUGUGUGUGUGUCUGUGUGUGUGUGUGUGUGUGUGUGUGUGUGUGUGUGUGUGUGUGUGUGUGUGUGUGUGUGUACAGUGAUAUGUUCCCAGGCUGACUGAGUUUCAACUCCGCUCUGCGCUGCUCGUGUCGCCUUCCUCCCAGGUGUCCCUGCACCCCUGGUUACCCCUGGUUACCCCUGGUUACCCUCUGUCACAGGAAGAGGGGGAGAACAGGGGGGGCUCUCUUUAUCUGUCUCUAAACUCACUUUGAUGCUGUCUAGGGAUUUCAGCACAAUUUAAUUAGGUUGUUAUUCAGGCAGGAGAUUGCUCUGCCUCCAGUGUCGGCCGUUACCCUAUAGAGGAUGAGGACAUUACCCUAUAGAGGAUGAGGACAUUACCCUAUAGAGGAUGAGGACAUUACCCUAUAGAGGAUGAGGACAUUACCCUAUAGAGGAUGAGGACAUUACCCUAUAGAGGAUGAGGACAUUACCCUAUAGAGGAUGAGGACAUUACCCUAUAGAGGAUGAGGACAUUACCCUAUAGAGGAUGAGGACAUUACCCUAUAGAGGAUGAGGACAUUACCCUAUAGAGGAUGAGGACAUUACCCUAUAGAGGAUGAGGACAUUACCCUAUAGAGGAUGAGGACAUUACCCUAUAGAGGAUGAGGACAUUACCCUAUAGAGGAUGAGGACAUUACCCUAUAGAGGAUGAGGACAUUACCCUAUAGAGGAUGAGGACAUUACCCUAUAGAGGAUGAGGACAUUACCCUAUAGAGGAUGAGGACAUUACCCUAUAGAGGAUGAGGACAUUACCCUAUAGAGGAUGAGGACAUUACCCUAUAGAGGAUGAGGACAUUACCCUAUAGAGGGUGAGGACAUUACCCUAUAGAGGGUGAGGACAUUACCCUAUAGAGGGUGAGGACAUUACCCUAUAGAGGGUGAGGACAUUACCCUAUAGAGGGUGAGGACAUUACCCUAUAGAGGGUGAGGACAUUACCCUAUAGAGGGUGAGGACAUUACCCUAUAGAGGAUGAGGACAUUACCCUAUAGAGGGUGAGGACAUUACCCUAUAGAGGGUGAGGACAUUACCCUAUAGAGGAUGAGGACAUUACCCUAUAGAGGGUGAGGACAUUACCCUAUAGAGGGUGAGGACAUUACCCUAUAGAGGAUGAGGACAUUACCCUAUAGAGGAUGAGGACAUUACCCUAUAGAGGGUGAGGACAUUACCCUAUAGAGGGUGAGGACAUUACCCUAUAGAGGAUGAGGACAUUACCCUAUAGAGGAUGAGGACAUUACCCUAUAGAGGAUGAGGACAUUACCCUAUAGAGGAUGAGGACAUUACCCUAUAGAGGAUGAGGACAUUACCCUAUAGAGGAUGAGGACAUUACCCUAUAGAGGAUGAGGACAUUACCCUAUAGAGGAUGAGGACAUUACCCUAUAGAGGAUGAGGACAUUACCCUAUAGAGGAUGAGGACAUUAGAGUUCAGAGAAAGUACAGGCCCUCUGUUAACGUCAUUACUGUAUAGGGUAUAGAGAGACAGAGGGUGAGGUCAUUACUGUAUAGGGUAUAGAGAGACAGAGGGUGAGGUCAUUACUGUAUAGGGUAUAGAGAGACAGAGGGUGAGGUCAUUACUGUAUAGGGUAUAGAGAGGCAGAGGGUGAGGUCAUUACUGUAUAGGGUAUAGAGAGACAGAGGGUGAGGUCAUUACUGUAUAGGGUAUAGAGAGACAGAGGGUGAGGUCAUUACUGUAUAGGGUAUAGAGAGACAGAGGGUGAGGUCAUUACUGUAUAGGGUAUAGAGAGACAGAGGGUGAGGUCAUUACUGUAUAGGGUAUAGAGAGACAGAGGGUGAGGUCAUUACUGUAUAGGGUAUAGAGAGACAGAGGGUGAGGUCAUUACUGUAUAGGGUAUAGAGAGGUCAUUACUGUAUAGGGUAUAGAGAGACAGAGGGUGAGGUCAUUACUGUAUAGGGUAUAGAGAGACAGAGGGUGAGGUCAUUACUGUAUAGGGUAUAGAGAGACAGAGGGUGAGGUCAUUACUGUAUAGGGUAUAGAGAGACAGAGGGUGAGGUCAUUACUGUAUAGGGUAUAGAGAGGCAGAGGGUGAGGUCAUUACUGUAUAGGGUAUAGAGAGACAGAGGAUGAGGUCAUUACUGUAUAGGGUAUAGAGAGACAGAGGGUGAGGUCAUUACUGUAUAGGGUAUAGAGAGACAGAGGGUGAGGUCAUUACUGUAUAGGGUAUAGAGAGACAGAGGGUGAGGUCAUUACUGUAUAGGGUUUAGAGACAGAGGGUGAGGUCAUUACUGUAUAGGGUUUAGAGAGACAGAGGGUGAGGUCAUUACUGUAUAGAGUUUAGUUACAUUGACUCUAAAUAUGACCGGCAAGAUAUUUGAGUUUAAAAAUUCAGCGACUCCACGAAUGGUGG
This is a long non-coding RNA of Oncorhynchus keta (chum salmon), 2869 nucleotides long. RefSeq lists it as uncharacterized. The transcript has 4 exons. Lineage: Eukaryota; Metazoa; Chordata; Actinopteri; Salmoniformes; Salmonidae. The record is from RefSeq and is a predicted model, not a curated record.